GGGGGUGACCGGCUUUGACGGUCUGUACCUUGAAAGACGUGCGACGCAGUGCACGCUCGAUGCCACUUAUAAAAUCCACGAGCAAACAAACUUGCCAAGAACACUCUUGCAAGCGCGAAGAAGUCGCCUUACUUCGGUAAGGUCGGUGAUCUCGCGUUCGCCUACGCGACGGCUCGCGGCUAACGCCCCCUGUCUCGCCUGGUGCGACGUUCAUCCUCCCCGGAUUUCGCAGCGGGAGGGAUGGGCGGAAUUACCUGCGAAAUCGAUGCCCGGGAUCCCGACCGGCGCAUCUAAAUAAGGGAUCGGAAAGGAGCGGUUUCGUCCUGAUUCCUCGCGCCCUUCCCUAAAACUAAUCAGGACUAUGCGUCGUAGAAGCGCUUUUAAGGACGGGCUCGGACCGGGGUUCAAUUCCCCGCACCUCCACAA
RNAcentral lists this transfer-messenger RNA (426 nucleotides) under Candidatus Parcubacteria bacterium. It matches the Rfam family "transfer-messenger RNA". Rfam says of the family: Bacterial tmRNA, also known as 10Sa RNA or SsrA, is named for its dual tRNA and mRNA-like properties. Its role is to liberate the mRNA from a stalled ribosome. To accomplish this part of the tmRNA is used as a reading frame that ends in a translation stop signal. Lineage: Bacteria; Candidatus Parcubacteria. The record is from RNAcentral.